CGUGAACCUGCAGUGUGGACUUGGUGGGGACGGCUCGCCUGCACUCCGGGUGGCAGGAGGUAGAGUUGGGUGUUGGGGGCUGGGGUCGUUAGAGCUCACCAUGCAACAUGACACACACCGCUACAUACACACCACUACACACACUAGAUACACCACUACACACACCACUACACACACUACACACACCACUACACACACACACUACACACACUACACCACUACACACACCACUACACACACUACACGCACACAGUACACACACCACUACACACACUACACGCACACAGUACACACACCACUACACACACUACACACACCACUACACACACACACCACUACACACACUAGAUACACCACUACACACACCACUACUCACACUACACGCACAGUACACACACCACUACACACUACAUACAAACCACUACACACACUACACACACACACCACUACACGCACACACUACACACACCACUACACACACACUACAUACACCACUACACACACCACUACACAUACUACACACACAGUACACACACCACUACACACUACAUACAAACCACUACACACACUACACACACACACCACUACACGCACACUACACACACCACUACAUAUACCACUACACACACCACUACACACACACUACAUACAAACCACUACACACACCACUACACACUACAUACCACUACACACACCACUACACACACUACACGCACACACUACACACACCACUACACACACACACUGCAUACACCACUACACACACACCGCUACACACUACACGCACACAGUACACACACCACUACACACACACUACAUACAAACCACUACACGCACACUACACACACCACACACACACCACACACACCAUUACACACACUACACUACACACACCACUACACACACACCACUGCAUACACACUACAUACACCACUACACACACUACACACACUACACACACUACACACACAACCACUACACACACACUACACGCACACACUACACACACAACCACUACACGUACCACUACACACUACACACAACCACUACACACACCACUACACACACACCACUACAUACACCACUACACACACCACUACACACACCACUACACACACUACACGCACAGUACACACACUACACACACAACAUACAAACCACUACACACACUACACACACCACUACACACACACUACACACACCACUACACACACACACUACACACACUACACACACACCACUACACACCACUGCAUACACACCACUGCACGCACCACUACACACUACACACACACCACUACACACACACCAUUACACACUACACACACCACUAUGCACACACAUACACACCACUACACACACAUUACGCUACACACACACUACACACACUACAGGCACACACUACACCACUACACACACACUACACACAUUACACACACUACACACUCCACUAUGCACACACUACACAUACACCACUACACACACACCAUUACACACACUACACACACCACUACACGCACACACUACACACACCACUACACACACACAGCAUUACACACACUACACACACCACUACACGCACACACCAUUACACACACACUACACACACCACUGCACACACUACACAUACACACCACUACACACACCAUUACACACACACUACAAACACCACUACACACACACUACACACACACCACUACACUACACACACCACUAUGCACACUACAUACACACACCACUACACUCACACACCAUUACACACACACUACACACACCACUACACACCACUACACACACACCAUUACACACACACUACACACACCACUACACACCACUACACACACACCAUUACACACACACUACACACACCACUACACACCACUAUGCACACACUACACACACACCAUUACACACACACUACACACACCACUACACACACACUACACACACACACCACUAUGCACACACUACACAUACACACCACUACACACACACCAUUACACACACACUACACACACCACUACACACACAUUACACUACACACACCACUACACACUACACACACACCACUAUGUACACACUACACAUACACACCACUACACACACCAUUAGACACCACUACACACACACUACACACCACUACACACUACACACACACCACUAUGCACACACUACACAUACCACUACACACACACCAUUACACACACACUACACACACUACACACUACACACACACCACUACACACUACACACACCACUAUGCACACACUACACAUACACGCCACUACACACACCACUACACACACGCAACACACACCACUAUGCACACACCACUACACACACUACACACACCACUACACUACACACACACCACUAUGCACACUACACAUACACACCACUACACACACACACCAUUACACUACACACACCACUACACAUCACUACACCCACACCAUUACACACACACUACACACACACUACACACACACUAUGCACACUACACAUACAUACCACUACACGCACACACCAUUACACACACACUACGCACACGACUACACACACUACACACACACUACUACACACACUACACACAUCACUAUGCACACACUAUACAUACAGACCACUACACACUACACACACACACCACUACACACACUACACACACACACCACUAUGCACACACUACACAUACACACCACUACACACACACCAUUACACACACACUACACACACCACUACACACACACUACACACACACACACCACUACACGCACACCACUACAUACACCACUACGUACACACACCACUACAUGCACACACCACUACACACACACACCAUUACACACACACACCACUACAUGCGCACACACACACGCGCACACGCAGGCCCUGGGCCCCCACCCACCUUCCUCAGCGCCCUCCCUGCACGUGUGACGCGGUGGCCCCCAAAAUGCCUCUGACCCUGCCUGGUCUUCCUAGAUGUUCUGCACCAGCUUUGCUGGUGUUUUCAGGGUGCCUACGGGGACCCCUCAUCCC
Molecule: long non-coding RNA, 3036 nt
Filed under: Homo sapiens (human)
Lineage: Eukaryota; Metazoa; Chordata; Mammalia; Primates; Hominidae
Description: non-protein coding lnc-NOC4L-1:4
Source: RNAcentral